Molecule: long non-coding RNA, 368 nt
Filed under: Capra hircus (goat)
Lineage: Eukaryota; Metazoa; Chordata; Mammalia; Artiodactyla; Bovidae
Description: lncRNA (ENSCHIG00000003842.1)
Source: RNAcentral
CUGUGUUUAAAAUAAACCUGAACUAGGUAGGCAUAGAUUCUCCAUGAAAUGUCGGGGGAAAGCCCCCCUCUGAUUAUUUUGGCAUUUGUAGCUUAUAGAGUCAAAAUCUCCCAUAUUUAAAACCUUGUGUUGUGUGUUCAGUCGCUCAGCCAUGUCUGACUCUUUGUGACCCCACGGAAUGUUGCCUGCUGGGCUCCGCUGUCCGUCGCAAGAACACUGGAGUGGGUUGUCAUUUCCUUCUCCAAACCCAGGGAUCGAACUCGUGUCUCCUGCACAGGAUCUCCCUGACCCAGGGAUCGAACCCAUGAUUCUGAUGUCUCCUGCACUAGCAGGUGGGUUCUUUAUCACUUGCACCACCUGGGAAGCAC